RNAcentral lists this transfer RNA (75 nucleotides) under Desulfobacteraceae bacterium. Its description in RNAcentral is "tRNA-Thr". It matches the Rfam family "tRNA". Rfam says of the family: Transfer RNA (tRNA) molecules are approximately 80 nucleotides in length. Their secondary structure includes four short double-helical elements and three loops (D, anti-codon, and T loops). Lineage: Bacteria; Pseudomonadati; Thermodesulfobacteriota; Desulfobacteria; Desulfobacterales; Desulfobacteraceae. The record is from RNAcentral.
GCUGGCGUAGCUCAAUGGUAGAGCAGCUGAUUUGUAAUCAGCAGGCUGCGGGUUCAAGUCCCAUCGCCAGCUCCA